Bufo bufo (common toad) is the source of this 722-nucleotide long non-coding RNA. RefSeq lists it as uncharacterized. Lineage: Eukaryota; Metazoa; Chordata; Amphibia; Anura; Bufonidae. The transcript is spliced from 3 exons. The record is from RefSeq and is a predicted model, not a curated record.
AGGUGACCAGAACAAUGCUGGAGGGAGUGGGAGAAGGCUAGUUCUACCAAAUGGCAUCACCUAGAGUGAAGACCCGAUGGCAAUGAUGCUAUGAUCAGUUUUGGCAGGAACUAGUGAUGUCACAGGCACACAGUGGCUAUGGGGGCUUCCUACCUAUACUUUACACCCACCAGCUUGAGUUUUUGAGACCCGUGCUGGAUAUAAGGCCCACCAUGGACAACCUUGUGGGCCAAGGAGGGAAUGUCAACUGAUGAUGAACAAGCAGCCACCUGGCUAGAUUCCUCUCGUCCGGUAUUGGGAGAAGAAGAAUCCAGCCCCCUGGGGCAACCCGAUGGUCCUGAAGGACAGGAAGAGUCCUCUGCUGUGGAUGGAGUGCCAGCACUUCCAUUGAGUCCAGAACCGCACCAGUCAUGUCUGAGAAGGGGGGCUAGGCUCAAUCCUGUUUCUGGCUCAGAUACUCGAAACCUGAUUGAUAGUCAGGUGCUUGAGUAUUUGUGCCAGAAAAGGAAUUAAGGCAAGGAGGAACAGAUGAUGCAUGGCCUAGCUCCCCUAAUUCAAAACCUCUCUAAUGACAAACAAAAACUUUUUGUCAACAUUGUAUCUUUGUUAGCCGCAAUCCUAGACUCAACUAUGGAUCCACUUGAACUGGUGUGCAAUGUAGUUCACAUGAAGCACCAGGCUUUGGCAAUGUCCUGCAACCACUUGGCACUGGUUAUUGUAGA